Non-coding RNA from Chlorocebus sabaeus (green monkey), 1879 nucleotides. Lineage: Eukaryota; Metazoa; Chordata; Mammalia; Primates; Cercopithecidae. The record is from RefSeq and is a predicted model, not a curated record.
AUUAUUGGAAGUCUUCAGGAAUUUACACAUUGAUAUACAAAGUAAGUAGGCCAGUUCAUUUGUCUGGGCUCAUGUGCAAUGAUCUUUAAUGCGUAUUAAAAACUUUCUAUUCUCAAGUAAGGAUAAUAUAUAUCUCAGGUCAUUUACAGUCUCAAAGGUUUGUUAGUAUACUUUAAAACAAUCCUGGGAACAGUUCUAGAUUGAAGGAGACUAAAGAAUCAUGAACUCGAGGCAGUGCCGGGGCAGGUGCAGAGCUGGCAAGCGCAUGGUGGAGGCGGUGCCAAUGGGGGCCGCUGAGGCGCACAGAGGUUCGGCGGCUCCCAGGAGACUGUUGCUGGCACGGUCAGGGCAGGAGGUUAGGCAGCAGGAGGCAGCAUGUCGGUUGCGGGGCUGAAGAAGCAGUUCUACAGUGUGAGCCAUCUAGUCAGUGAGAAGGUCGGAGGGGCUGAGGGGACCAAGCUGGACGAUGACUUCAAAGAGAUGGAGAAGAAGGUGGAUGUCAUCAGCAAGGCGGUGACAGAAAUGCUGGCCAGGACCAUCCAGUACCUUCAACCCAACCCAGCCUCGCAGGCUAAGCUGACCAUGCUCAACACGGCGGGCAAGAUACGGAGCCAGGUGAAGAACCCCGGCUACCCGCAGUCGGAGGGGCUCCUGGGUGAGGGCCUGAUCCACCACGGGAAGGAGCUGGGUGACGAGUCCAACUUCAAAGAUGCACUGCUGGAUGCCGGCGAGUCCAUGGAAGCAUCUGGCGGAGGUGAAGGAUUCCCUGGAAAUAGAAGUCAAGUAGAACUUCACUGACCCCGUUCAGAACCUAUGCAAGACAGACCUGAAGGAGAUCCAGCACCACCUGCAGAAGCUGGAGGGUCGCCGCCUGGACUUUGACUAAAAAAAGCAGCAGGGCAAGAUCCCCCAAUGAGGAGCUGCGCCAGGCGCUGGAGAAGUUUGAGGAGUCCAAGGAAGUGGCAGAAACCAGCAUGCACAACUUCCUGGAGACCGACAUUGAGCAGAUGAGUCAACUCCCGGCUCUGGUGGAGGCGCAGCUGGACUACCACCAGCAGGCGGUGCAGAUCCUGGACGAGCUGGCCAAGAAGCUCAAGCGCAGGAUGCAGGAAGCUUCCUUAGACUCCAGCGGAAGUAUAAGCCCGAGCCUCGGAAGCCCUUUGACCUCAGAGAGCCUGAGCAGUCCAAAAGGGGUUUCUCUUGCACCACAGUCCUCAGGAUUGCAGCUUCGUCCUCUUUCCAAUCUUCCGACAAGCCCAUUCGGACUCCUAGCAGGAGCAUGCCGCCCCUAGACCAGCCGAGCUGCAAGGCGCUGUACGACUUCAAGCCCGAGAACGAUGGGGAGCUGGGCUUCCAUGAGGGUGAUGUCUUCACGCUGAUCGACCAGAUCGACGAGAACUGGUAGGAGGGCCUGCUGGAUGGCCAGUCAGACUUCUUCCUGCUCAGCUACGUGGACGUGCUCAUGCCUCUGCCCAGUGACUCACCGGUGCCCCUGCGCUGCCCCUCCAUCCACACUGGGUGGCACCCCCUGCCGGGUCUCCUGCCUUCCACGGGGCCCCUGCUGCCAGGGCGGUGUCCAAGCCUGCCGGUGCCACCCAGGCCCAGGCCCUUGAGGUACUCCCUGAGCAGGGUGCCACACUUGGGCUGCCCAGCUGACAAAGCCAGGCCCACGGAAGCCUGUGUCACUCUGGCACAAGCAGUCACCACCAGCCACCUACACACCCCCCAGCACCCCUCACACGGGACCACAGCCCCAGCCAUGCUGCUGAGGGCCAAGCACAAAGGCUCCAGUAAGCGAAUGUUCAAGCCCCUGGUGGCCAGGCCUCCCCUUGCUGAGCCGCUGCCACCUGUAGGAAGUGGCCCCAGCCUCCUCCUCUAG